Molecule: ribosomal RNA, 669 nt
Filed under: Cortinarius sp. MLB-2010h
Lineage: Eukaryota; Fungi; Basidiomycota; Agaricomycetes; Agaricales; Cortinariaceae
Description: eukaryotic LSU rRNA
Rfam family: Eukaryotic large subunit ribosomal RNA
Source: RNAcentral
GUGACCUCAAAUCAGGUAGGACUACCCGCUGAACUUAAGCAUAUCAAUAAGCGGAGGAAAAGAAACUAACAAGGAUUCCCCUAGUAACUGCGAGUGAAGCGGGAAAAGCUCAAAUUUAAAAUCUGGCAGUCUCUGGCUGUCCGAGUUGUAAUCUAGAGAAGUGUUAUCCGCGCUGGACCGUGUACAAGUCUCCUGGAAUGGAGCGUCAUAGAGGGUGAGAAUCCCGUCUUUGACACGGACUGCCAGGGCUUUGUGAUGCGCUCUCAAAGAGUCGAGUUGUUUGGGAAUGCAGCUCAAAAUGGGUGGUAAAUUCCAUCUAAAGCUAAAUAUUGGCGAGAGACCGAUAGCGAACAAGUACCGUGAGGGAAAGAUGAAAAGAACUUUGGAAAGAGAGUUAAACAGUACGUGAAAUUGCUGAAAGGGAAACGCUUGAAGUCAGUCGCGUUGGUCAGGGAUCAACCUUGCUUUUGCUAGGUGUACUUUCUGGUUGACGGGUCAGCAUCAAUUUUGAUCAUUGGAAAAAGAUUAGGGGAAUGUGGCAUCCUUGGAUGUGUUAUAGCCCUUGGUUGUAUACAAUGGUUGGGAUUGAGGAGCUCAGCACGCCGCAAGGCCGGGUUUUUACCACGUACGUGCUUAGGAUGCUGGCAUAAUGGCUUUAAUCGACCCGUC